AAUAUUUCUUAAGCACGAUGUGAUAAGACUCGAAUGUAGAAAAACUUGCAAUUCGAAAUUUAGAGUUUUAUAUUUUAUUUAGACCAAUAACAAUGUUGUUUGAUAAGAAAGUCGAUAAAAAAAGGUCAUUUUAAUAAGCGUGGAUAAAUGAUCGAUAUCGUUACUUUUCUUGCCGGCACAAGAAAGUAAAAAAUUAUAAUAAUCUAAAGUAUUACUGUGUUCUUUAACGGCGAAUGUACAAAAACAGACAUUUGUUGGAAUGUUCGGCCACGUGUAUUUCAUGUCAACCAUUGUGUUUACUAUUGACUUUGUAGGUU
This is a long non-coding RNA of Ceratosolen solmsi marchali, 317 nucleotides long. RefSeq lists it as uncharacterized. The record is from RefSeq and is a predicted model, not a curated record. Lineage: Eukaryota; Metazoa; Arthropoda; Insecta; Hymenoptera; Agaonidae. The transcript is spliced from 2 exons.